ACGGAAGAUCCGAGCGUUAUCCGGAAUUAUUGGGUUUAAAGGGAGCGUAGGCGGAUGAUCAAGUCAGUUGUGAAAGUUUGGGGCUCAACCUUGAAAUUGCAGUUGAAACUGGUUAUCUUGAGUGUACAUAACGGUGGUGGAAUUUGUGGUGUAGCGGUGAAAUGCAUAGAUAUCACGAAGAACUCCGAUUGCGAAGGCAGCCACCGGGGGUGCAACUGACGCUGAGGCUCGAAAGUGCGGGAAUCAAACAG
RNAcentral lists this ribosomal RNA (251 nucleotides) under uncultured prokaryote. Its description in RNAcentral is "partial 16S rRNA". It matches the Rfam family "Bacterial small subunit ribosomal RNA", at positions 525 to 775 of the family's 1533-position model. The record is from RNAcentral.